GCGGACGUGGCGGAAUUGGCAGACGCGCCAGGUUUAGGUCCUGGUGCCCGAAAGGGCAUGGGGGUUCGAUUCCCCCCGUCCGCACGA
Molecule: transfer RNA, 87 nt
Filed under: Acidimicrobiales bacterium
Lineage: Bacteria; Bacillati; Actinomycetota; Acidimicrobiia; Acidimicrobiales
Description: tRNA-Leu
Rfam family: tRNA
About the family: Transfer RNA (tRNA) molecules are approximately 80 nucleotides in length. Their secondary structure includes four short double-helical elements and three loops (D, anti-codon, and T loops). Further hydrogen bonds mediate the characteristic L-shaped molecular structure. tRNAs have two regions of fundamental functional importance: the anti-codon, which is responsible for specific mRNA codon recognition, and the 3' end, to which the tRNAs corresponding amino acid is attached (by aminoacyl-tRNA synthetases). tRNAs cope with the degeneracy of the genetic code in two manners: having more than one tRNA (with a specific anti-codon) for a particular amino acid; and 'wobble' base-pairing, i.e. permitting non-standard base-pairing at the 3rd anti-codon position.
Source: RNAcentral